GAUGAAGAACGCAGCGAAAUGCGAUAAGUAAUGUGAAUUGCAGAAUUCAGUGAAUCAUCGAAUCUUUGAACGCAUCUUGCGCUCCUUGGUAUUCUGAGGGGCAUGCCUGUUUGAGUGUCAUUAAAUUCUCAACUACACUGACUUUGAAUUGGUGUGGCUUGGAUUUGGGGGGAAAAUUGUUGUGGGCUUUUUGUAUAGUCUGCUCCCCUGAAAUUGAUUAGCGGUACCUUUGUGGAACUGUCUACAGGUGUGAUAAUUAUCUACAUCUUAGACAUCUGCUGGAAUGCUGCUUUCUAAACCUUACUUGUAUUGACAAUCUUGACCUCAAAUCAGGUAGGACUACCCGCUGAACUUAAGCAUAUCAAUAAGCGGAGGA
Molecule: unclassified non-coding RNA, 376 nt
Filed under: soil metagenome
Description: partial contains 5.8S ribosomal RNA, internal transcribed spacer 2, and large subunit ribosomal RNA
Rfam family: 5.8S ribosomal RNA (bases 1-120)
Source: RNAcentral